GGCCCUGCUCCCUUAGGUUUGUGUGGACAUCCCGGGCUCGUCCAAGCUGCUCCUGGAGCUGCCCCUGGUCAUCGGCACCGUCCCCCUGCACCUUUUUGGCAGCCGCUCCUCCAGUGUGGGCAGCCACUCCGACUUCCUGCUGGACUGGGGGCUGGGCGCCCUGACUCAGCAGCCCGAAGCUCCUCCUGAGUAUUCCGACGUGGUGGCGGAGGAGGACGCAGCAGGCCCUGCACAGGGCCACUUCACACUGCUGCAGGAGGCCAUGAGCUUUGAAGGCCCCUACUUUGCUUACCUCCAGGAGUGCCGCUACCUCCCACCGCCCCUGUACUCUGAGGUACAUCCCGACACGUGUGGUGGCGCACACCUGUAAUCGCAGCACUCAGGGAGGCUGAGGCAGGAGGAUCGCUGCGAGUUCAAGACCAGCGUGGGCUCACAGUGAGUUCCAGGUCAGUCUCAACUACAUAGUGAGACCCUGUCUCAAAAAAACAAAGAAUAAGUACAUCCCACGCAGCACUCGCCCCGGCUGCCAUAUGGGAUAUACUUGCAUUACCCAGAAAAAUUUAAACUGGGUGCCUUGGUGCACAUCUCAGCGCUCUGGGAGGCUGAGGCAGGAGGGUCCCAAGGUCAAGCCCAUCCUAGUCAAUUUAGCGAGACCCUGUCUCAAAAUAAAAACGACUUACAAAAGGGAGGGGAGGUAGCUCAGUGGAAAUGCCCUAGGUGCAAUCCCAGUACUUAGAAACAAAACCAAACACACAGGGCCUUGGUGGACUGAGGUGAAGGAGCGCGAUUCCGUCCGGGCUGUGGGGGGUGGGGGGGUGGUGCCCCCCGCCCUGCCUGUGCGCACCCAGAGACUUUCCCUGACCCCAGACCUCCCGCUGGCCCGGCCCUGGAAGCCGGGCCGGAGUGGCUGCCUCAAGGGCAGCAGGGGCCUUGACCUUCACAGCUCAGGCCGGGUUUAGGCCGGUUGGGCCAGACAGGCGUUGGCUGAAGUUUCAGGGAGCUGGGGCCGCAGCCCGGCCCAAACGCUAUGAUAGGGGAGAGAACCCAG
Molecule: long non-coding RNA, 1048 nt
Filed under: Fukomys damarensis (Damara mole-rat)
Lineage: Eukaryota; Metazoa; Chordata; Mammalia; Rodentia; Bathyergidae
Description: lncRNA (ENSFDAG00000029918.1)
Source: RNAcentral